Molecule: non-coding RNA, 82 nt
Filed under: Sphaerotilus montanus
Lineage: Bacteria; Pseudomonadati; Pseudomonadota; Betaproteobacteria; Burkholderiales; Sphaerotilaceae
Source: RNAcentral
GUCUAUGGCGGGCCGUGCGGGGGAGUCGCAAGACUCGCCGGCCCUUCUCCGGUACGCCAACCUCGCACGGUCUGCCGCCCUC